GGGAGAGGGCAUACGAAGUCAUUGUCUGAAAUUUCUAUAACCUUGCUCUGGAUGGAGCAGGGCAAGGCCUCAAACCGUUUCAAAACUGUUCUAGCAAGCACUGAAGGAAUGCAUAGGGUCACCGCAGACCCAAGCACGCUGGAGGCUUGCUACCCUCAUUCACCCAAAUCCCCCACACUCAAGGAAUCUGGCAGUCCACUCUCACUAAGCACCAGUCCCUGCUGGGGGCUGUGGGAAGAGACCAGAGUUCAAUUAGGCACCUGAGCUUGGUUCCAGGAGCCCAGAGCUACUAAUGACUCUCAGGGAAAGAUCCUUUCUGGCUGAGGAAGAAGGGAAGGUGUCUUGGAAGAGAUAACCUUAUUAAAUUAUUAAAUAGAUCAGACAACACGAACUAAACUUCCACAUUAUUCUAUGACACUACAAUUCUAGCAUGGCUUUUCACUGUGACCAGAAACAUCCUUAUCAUCAUGUAGUUAAUAUAAAUACUGCCUUUUCCCCUUCAUUUUUUUCUCAUGUA
This 517-nucleotide long non-coding RNA is filed under the name Homo sapiens (human). RNAcentral's name for it is "HSALNT0340618". The record is from RNAcentral. Lineage: Eukaryota; Metazoa; Chordata; Mammalia; Primates; Hominidae.